AGCAAGGUGCUUCCCAACAGCAUAUUGGAGGAGCUAAAAGCAGGAAAAUAUUCCUGAUCACCUUGCUACACUGUUGUGUUCUGCUCCAAUGCCCCUGCUGGGACCUGAAGGAGCCAUGCAGCCCAUCUGCUUCGGUCCCUGGAAAGAGAUGGGAAGCAAGGAGGAAGAAUGAGGUCUCUGUUGCUCUGGGAAGCCUGUGCCUGCUGCCCUGCACAGCUGUGAAGCAUGUCACAUCCCUGAUGGGCCAGAUGCUGAAAGAUGCUGAACAUCCUUAGAAGGUCAAACUCAGAAGGCAGAAAACCCUCCUGGCUAAUUCUGAGACACAGCAGUGACGGGGCCUGCAUGACAGGAGACACCCAGGAGGCAGAGCAGCUCUGAGUCAGCCGUCUCCAGAGAAAGAUUUGUCAGUGGCUGGGCCAGUUUUCACCAGCUCCACAGCUGGUGGCAGUUUCUGCACUUCAUUCUACAAGCAUCUUGUGUGGCUGACAUGCUGCUCCCUGGAGGGGAGCCAGGGGAUGGGACCCUCCUUUCUCACUGGGGGUUGGUGCUUGUGGGCUUUAUCCAAGCACUCUGCACCACAGCACCAUUUCCACAGGAGGAAAAGGGGCCCAGCAUCGGGGGGAGCUGCAAGCCUGGGCUGGGGAAAUGUCUGAAGCAUCUUCUCUGCCACCUUCCCCAGUGCUGCCUGCCUUGGCAGGGACCCUGGCUCUGUGUGCAGCCCACAGCUCAGCACCUUAGGGCAGGCUCUGGGCAGGUAAGGACAGACUCAUUCCAGGGGAGUUACACCAGAUUUAUGUGAUUGUAAAGAGAAAGGUUGCAGCCUUAAUUAAGCUUCUGAGUCCUAGGAGGGGCUGGAAUAAAACUCUGAGAUCUGCCACAGUCUGCCUGUAUGUCAGUUGUAUAAUUCCUCCUGGUCCCAGUUCUCCUAUACAUAAAAGCUGGAGCACCUCCUGCCUUGGUUAUGAGGGAUGCAAACUUUGCAGGGCUGAGACUGCUCCUGCCAACCACCACAGCAUCCAGGAGAGUGGUGGAGCUCCAUGUGCUGCUCUCUGGGCAUCCCUUGGUGCCAUCUCUUCCAGCAGCAGAAUCCCGUGUGCUUGCUGUGUGCUGGAUGAGAGCAUCCCUCCUGGUGCAAUGGAAAGAGAGAGCCUGAGGCUCCUGCAGGCAUGAGAUGUGGCCGUGAAGGACAGCAGAGGACAUGGGGCUCCAGACAGUGCCCAUUUUAAUGUGCCUGGCCUUUUGUGUUUGCCUCUAUUCAUGUUGGGAAGGGAACUUCUGGCUCUGUAUGCAUCUUCCUGUCAGAAAAUCCUUAGGCUCUGAAUAGAUUUACUCUCCAGUCUGUGAGCUGCUUAGCACUGGGCCUGUCUGGUGGGAGGAGGUGAAUGACUCUGGAGGGCUUUAUUGGCAGGACAGUGCCCUGGAGAGGAGGCUGGCUCCUUGUUAUCAAUGGGAUCCUUCACUGGCACAGACAGCCUGGGUGAUAAGGAGCUGAACAGUGUUGGAUAGCCCACGAUUCCAAAGCUGGCUGCAAGCUUGACCCUCCUUUCUGUACCCAUGGGCAAAUCCCCGGUACCCUCUUUAUUUCUGUAAGAGUUUCCUGUCUGUAACACACAGUGAACUGUCACUCUCUCCAUGGAUGCAGUCUCCUCUUCCCUUGUGUUUCAGGCUCAGAGCUAUUUGGAUACCUAGAAAUAAGCAGGCAGGUAGGUUGUGAAAAGGACACCACCACAGAGUGCUUGCUCAGCCUGUGCUUUGUGUCACUGCAAUGAUGGUGCAGACAAUUCCUCAGCUCCCGGGCUGGAUUCCCCCGGGGCUGUUGGGCUGUUGUUAAUGCUGCUUUCCCAGCUCUUCCACUGAGCUGUCUCUGCCUGCUGCACUCAUAUAAUCAGGAGCUGUAAAACCACUGACAACUCCAGAGACCAGAAUGGAGAUUACAUGCAACAUUAAAAUUAAAAACGGGCCAGAGUCACAAAGUUGUCUUCAUUAGGCAGCUCUGUUUUCUUUGUGGCUUUUACUGCCAAAUAAAUAACCUUUCAGGUGAGUUAGUUAAGCUGCCCUCAGGAGCAAGACAAGAUGGGUGAGGAGAGGCAGUUCAGCACAUCCUCUGAGAUUCCUGCCACAAAUCAGCCAGUCUGGAAACAGCAGAACUGGUGUCAAACCAGGAUGAAAACCUUAAAAUCCCACCAACACUCAAUGCAGAAUGACACAGAACAGUCCCCUGCCCUGAGCCAAUGCAGAGCUGGCUUCAGCUCUGACACUGAAUUCAGACAUUGGAGGCUCUGCCUCCCUCACAGCCACUCUUUGUCACCUGCAUUCAUUUGGUUCCUCAGGUUUUUUCCUCUCCCUUUGUGCCAGGCUUCUAGCAGAAGACUUUCCUUUCCUGAGGAAAGCAUUAGGGGGAGGCAGCACUAUGGGUACUUAAGGGCAAUUUUAAAAGGCCGAACAUGUUUGCCCCAGAAUAUUCCAGGAUUUUCUAUGGAGAAAGUCCACCGGUCAUACACUCACCAGAUGUCAGUGCUUGUGGGUUGUGCUCCACAUGGAUUGCUGAUAGAAACUGCAAUGCAUGAAUGGCUUGGUUUGACUCUGCAUCAGAACCAGAUGAAAUCUUGUCUUUGCUUUGUUUCCUCUUUGCACUUCUAGACUUUCAAACCACAGGCUUGAAGGGCACAGUUGUUCCCCCAGGGAUCAAAAAGUCUCUUGAAAAGCAGUGCAAAAUCACAGCAGUGAUGCUGCUGACACUGCAGACAGAGGAGAGGCAGGGGAAAGGUGCUAAAAUUCUCUCUUGCUUCUUUCCUGGUCUGGGCUAGGGUCCUGUCUCCCUGAUUACUCCUUGAGUCCCGGCCAGAAUCAUGGCAAACAGCAAUCCAGCCCUCCCACACCUGCCACUGUGUCAGAAAAGCUCCUCAGUACUAACGAGGGGAGAUGAGACACACUAGGUAAGGUCAGGUAUUCUCUGAUUAUUUGCUUCCUCAUCAUAAAACUGCUUUAAUGAAACUGAAAUUCUUUGCAGGAAACGCUCCCAUAAAUAAGUCAAUUUUUACAAGAAACAUGACAGCAAACAUUUCUGUAGGAAAGAAUGAAAGAUACUGGUGAAUCAUCCCAUUUCAACACUUCUAAAAUGGCAAAAAAGUGCCACUUUAUAUUUUGUUCAGAAAAGAAAGUUAACUGAUACUGAAAAAAAAAAAAAA
Molecule: long non-coding RNA, 3188 nt
Organism: Taeniopygia guttata (zebra finch)
Lineage: Eukaryota; Metazoa; Chordata; Aves; Passeriformes; Estrildidae
Source: Ensembl